GAUGAACGCUAGCUACAGGCUUAACACAUGCAAGUCGAGGGGCAGCAUGUCGGUUGCUUGCAACCGAUGAUGGCGACCGGCGCACGGGUGAGUAACGCGUAUCCAACCUACCCUUGUCCAUCGGAUAACCCGUCGAAAGGCGGCCUAACACGAUAUGCGGUUCACCGCAGGCAUCUAAGGUGAACGAAAUGUGAAGGAGAAGGAUGGGGAUGCGUCUGAUUAGCUUGUUGGCGGGGUAACGGCCCACCAAGGCGACGAUCAGUAGGGGUUCUGAGAGGAAGGUCCCCCACAUUGGAACUGAGACACGGUCCAAAACUCCUACGGGAGGCAGCAGUGAGGAAUAUUGGUCAAUGGACGGGAGUCUGAACCAGCCAAGUAGCGUGCAGGAUGACGGCCCUAUGGGUUGUAAACUGCUUUUAUAGGGGGAUAAAGUGUGUCACGUGUGGCAUAUUGCAGGUACCCUAUGAAUAAGGACCGGCUAAUUCCGUGCCAGCAGCCG
RNAcentral lists this ribosomal RNA (499 nucleotides) under uncultured bacterium. RNAcentral describes it as "bacterial SSU rRNA". It matches the Rfam family "Bacterial small subunit ribosomal RNA", at positions 28 to 517 of the family's 1533-position model. The record is from RNAcentral.